Molecule: non-coding RNA, 104 nt
Organism: Claviceps pusilla
Lineage: Eukaryota; Fungi; Ascomycota; Sordariomycetes; Hypocreales; Clavicipitaceae
Source: the annotation of a GenBank genome assembly
GCGAGUCUGGCCGAGUGGUUAAGGCGUUGUGUUUAGGUCCUCCGUCAGGAAAUGCUUAAACCGCAAUGGGCAUGCCCGCGUAGGUUCGAUCCCUACGGCUCGCA